Long non-coding RNA from Pyrgilauda ruficollis (rufous-necked snowfinch), 725 nucleotides. RefSeq lists it as uncharacterized. The transcript has 3 exons. Lineage: Eukaryota; Metazoa; Chordata; Aves; Passeriformes; Passeridae. The record is from RefSeq and is a predicted model, not a curated record.
CAGGUGUUCAUCUGCAUGAUUUUCCUGUUUAUUGCCCCAUCAUUCCCUGCAGGGAACUGUCAGGACAGAAGAGAAAACAACUUGUGCUCCAGAUCCCUCAACCAGUUGUCCCAAGGCCCUGAGGUCCCUUUGGUUGUCUGCAGCUUUCUUGAUGGUACUUUGUCACUGCCCACCUGAAAAAGCAGUAGCAGAGUGAUAUAACUGAAAGUGCUUCUCCUAUAUUUGAGGAAGAACGAAUUGAUGAUUGGACGGUAUAUUAAUAAGUAGCUGUUGUAUUACGAGAAUAAGAGCAUAUCUGGGGAGUUGGGAAGAACUGGAUUUUGACCCUAGUCUAGCAGCUCUGCUGCUCACUUAAACACAGAUGAAUGAAGACCCCAUUUGGAAAAUCACCAGGUCAGCGGUCCAGAGCUGAUGCAGGUGACUAUCAACACCAUCAGCUAAUCGUGCCUGAUGCAUUUGGUGGCCUUCGAGGACAGGAUUACAGAGGUGGUGAAUGAGGGAAGAGUGACUGGCAUCACCUACCUGGACUUCUGCAAAGCAUUUCACAUCCUGGUCUCUAAACUGGAGAGAUGUGGAUUUGAUGGGUGGACCAGUCAGUGGAUAAGGAAUUGGCUGGAUGGUCACUCUCAGACUUGUGGUCAACAGCUCAAUGUCCAAGUGGAGAUUAAUGACAAGUGGUGUUCUUCAGGGGUCAGUAUUGGGACCGGCAUUGUUUUUUACCAUCU